Molecule: ribosomal RNA, 1289 nt
Filed under: Leptopharynx costatus
Lineage: Eukaryota; Ciliophora; Nassophorea; Microthoracida; Microthoracidae
Description: eukaryotic LSU rRNA
Rfam family: Eukaryotic large subunit ribosomal RNA
Source: RNAcentral
CCCGCUGAACUUAAGCAUAUCAGUAAGCGGAGGAAAAGAAAUUAACAAAGAUUGCCCCAGUAGCGGCGAGUGAAGAGGCAACAGCUCAAGUUGAGAAUCGAUUGUAGUAAUACUCUCGAAUUGUAAUCUGAAGUGCAGUCCAGAAGGUGAAAACGACGCACAAACUCCUGGAAAGGAGUGUCAUAGAGGGUGACAACCCCGUACAUGGUGUCGUUCAAGCUGUAUGGAAGGCUACAAAGAGUCGGGUUGUUUGGGACUGCAGCCCAAAGUGGGAGGUAAACUUCUCCUAAGGCUAAAUAUUGGUGGGAAACCGAUAGCGAACAAGUACUGUGAAGGAAAGAUGAAAAGAACUUUGAAAAGAGAGUUAAAAGACUUGAAAUCGUUGAGAAGGAAGCGGUAGAAAAAAAUGAUUUGGUCAGGACUUUAGGAGUGACAAAGCUAGUCUGGUAUGCUUGUUGUACUUCAACGGCACUUGUAUACCAAGAUAAUAGCUUUGUGCCUGUGCUCCUGGCCAAAAGGUAGUAUCAGGAUAGAGGGUAUGGAAAAAACGCGGGGAAGCCCCAGAAAUGGACGAACUGCGCGAUACAUACUCCUGUCCUGAGGGACGAAAGUGAUACUGCCGAAAUGGUUUCUACCGACCCGUCUUGAAACACGGACCAAGGAGUCUACCACUUACGCGAGUGUGCGAGUGUACAAACUCAUACGCGAAAUGAAAGUGAAAACAAGGUAUGAAUCGCAAGAUGCAAUACCGACCGACCGAAGCCUCGGCAACGGAUUGAGUAAGAGCGUAAUUGUUAGGACCCGAAAGAUGGUGAACUAUACUUGAGUAGGGUGAAGUCAGGGGAAACUCUGAUGGAAGCUCGUAGCGAUAUUGACGUGCAAAUCAUUCGUCAAACUUGAGUAUAGGGGCGAAAGACUAAUCGAACCAUCUAGUAGCUGGUUCCCUCCGAAGUUUCUCUCAGGAUAGCUGGAACAUAUAUCGCAGUUUUAUUAGGUAAAGCGAAUGAUUAGAGGAAUCAGAGCUGAAACAGUUUUGACCUAUUCUCAAACUUUAAAUUGGUAAGCACUGGUAGUUUUCUUACUUGAACUAUCAGGUUGAAUGCGUGUUCUUAGUGGGCCAUUUUUGGUAAGCAGAACUGGCGAUGAGGGAUGCACCUAACGUUGAGAUAAGGUGCCUAAAUGCUCGCUCAUCAGACACCGCAAAAGGCGUUGAUUCAUCGAGACAACAGGACGGUGGCCCUAGAAGUCGGAACCCGCUAAGGAGUGUGUAACAACUCACCUGCCGAAUG